This 1019-nucleotide ribosomal RNA is filed under the name uncultured bacterium. Its description in RNAcentral is "bacterial SSU rRNA". It matches the Rfam family "Bacterial small subunit ribosomal RNA", at positions 355 to 1375 of the family's 1533-position model. The record is from RNAcentral.
UGAGGAAUAUUGGUCAAUGGGCGAGAGCCUGAACCAGCCAAGUAGCGUGCAGGAUGACGGCCCUAUGGGUUGUAAACUGCUUUUAUAAGGGAAUAAAGUGAGAGUCGUGACUCUUUUUGCAUGUACCUUAUGAAUAAGGACCGGCUAAUUCCGUGCCAGCAGCCGCGGUAAUACGGAAGGUCCGGGCGUUAUCCGGAUUUAUUGGGUUUAAAGGGAGCGUAGGCCGGAGAUUAAGCGUGUUGUGAAAUGUAGACGCUCAACGUCUGCACUGCAGCGCGAACUGGUUUCCUUGAGUACGCACAAAGUGGGCGGAAUUCGUGGUGUAGCGGUGAAAUGCUUAGAUAUCACGAAGAACUCCGAUUGCGAAGGCAGCUCACUGGAGCGCAACUGACGCUGAAGCUCGAAAGUGCGGGUAUCGAACAGGAUUAGAUACCCUGGUAGUCCGCACGGUAAACGAUGGAUGCCCGCUGUUGGUCUGAACAGGUCAGCGGCCAAGCGAAAGCAUUAAGCAUCCCACCUGGGGAGUACGCCGGCAACGGUGAAACUCAAAGGAAUUGACGGGGGCCCGCACAAGCGGAGGAACAUGUGGUUUAAUUCGAUGAUACGCGAGGAACCUUACCCGGGCUUGAAUUGCAGAGGAAGGAUUUGGAGACAAUGACGCCCUUCGGGGUCUCUGUGAAGGUGCUGCAUGGUUGUCGUCAGCUCGUGCCGUGAGGUGUCGGCUUAAGUGCCAUAACGAGCGCAACCCCUCUCCUUAGUUGCCAUCAGGUCAAGCUGGGCACUCUGGGGACACUGCCACCGUAAGGUGUGAGGAAGGUGGGGAUGACGUCAAAUCAGCACGGCCCUUACGUCCGGGGCUACACACGUGUUACAAUGGCAGGUACAGAGAGACGGUCCCUUGCAAAAUGGAUCAAAUCCUUAAAGCCUGUCUCAGUUCGGACUGGGGUCUGCAACCCGACCCCACGAAGCUGGAUUCGCUAGUAAUCGCGCAUCAGCCAUGGCGCGGUGAAUACGUUCCC